UGAAAAUGGAAUACUAUACCGCAGACAGUAGGUGCCCGAGUGGCAUAACGUGUACAACCUACCGAGGUUUCUUUAAUAAAGGAUUGUAUAAGAAGUCACUUUACCUGCGGUUGUUUGCGUAAAGUGACUUUUUCAUUUUUAAU
The sequence is a regulatory RNA element, 143 nucleotides long. It matches the Rfam family "Ribosomal protein L10 leader". Rfam says of the family: This family is a putative r-protein leader autoregulatory structure found in B. subtilis and other low-GC Gram-positive bacteria. It is located in the 5' untranslated regions of mRNAs encoding ribosomal proteins L10 and L12 (rplJ-rplL). The record is from Rfam.